AGUGAACGCUGGCGGUAGGCCUAACACAUGCAAGUCGAACGGCAGCACAGUAAGAGCUUGCUCUUACGGGUGGCGAGUGGCGGACGGGUGAGGAAUAUAUCGGAAUCUACUUUUUCGUGGGGGAUAACGUAGGGAAACUUACACUAAUACCGCAUACGACCUACGGGUGAAAGCAGGGGAUCUUCGGACCUUGCGCGAUUGAAUGAGCCGAUGUCGGAUUAGCUAGUUGGCGGGGUAAAGGCCCACCAAGGCGACGAUCCGUAGCUGGUCUGAGAGGAUGAUCAGCCACACUGGAACUGAGACACGGUCCAGACUCCUACGGGAGGCAGCAGUGGGGAAUAUUGGACAAUGGGCGCAAGCCUGAUCCAGCCAUACCGCGUGGGUGAAGAAGGCCUUCGGGUUGUAAAGCCCUUUUGUUGGGAAAGAAAAGCAGCAGGUUAAUACCCCGCUGUUCUGACGGUACCCAAAGAAUAAGCACCGGCUAACUUCGUG
This 492-nucleotide ribosomal RNA is filed under the name uncultured bacterium. RNAcentral describes it as "partial 16S ribosomal RNA". It matches the Rfam family "Bacterial small subunit ribosomal RNA", at positions 29 to 507 of the family's 1533-position model. The record is from RNAcentral.